UUUUGUUUUUCCUUAUCUAAAGUUUGACUAUUCGUUUUAUUCGAAUUUUUUUUGUGAUUAAUAUUUUUAUUCUUACUAGAUAAUAAAACAUGAAUAGGACUUUAUGCAUGACUAAUUUGUUAAACUUUUUAUAAACUUUUAAAUAAAACGAAUGAUCAAUCGUUGAAUACGGAAAAACGAACCUAUU
Molecule: microRNA precursor, 187 nt
Filed under: Oryza brachyantha (malo sina)
Lineage: Eukaryota; Viridiplantae; Streptophyta; Magnoliopsida; Poales; Poaceae
Description: MIR812 microRNA precursor family
Rfam family: MIR812 microRNA precursor family
Source: Rfam by way of RNAcentral